RNAcentral lists this ribosomal RNA (137 nucleotides) under uncultured bacterium. RNAcentral's name for it is "partial 16S ribosomal RNA". It matches the Rfam family "Bacterial small subunit ribosomal RNA", at positions 355 to 507 of the family's 1533-position model. The record is from RNAcentral.
UGGGGAAUCUUGCACAAUGGGCGAAAGCCUGAUGCAGCCAUGCCGCGUGAGUGAAGAAGGCCUUAGGGUUGUAAAGCUCUUUCGCUAGGGAUGAUAAUGACAGUGACCUAGUAGAAGAAGUUCCGGCUAACUCCGUG